CAGUAGGUCUGGGCGGGGCCUGAGAUUCUGCAUGUCUCCUGAGCUUCCGUGUGAUACCAGUGCCACUG
This 68-nucleotide microRNA precursor is filed under the name Myotis lucifugus (little brown bat). Its description in RNAcentral is "miRNA (ENSMLUG00000024930.1)". The record is from RNAcentral. Lineage: Eukaryota; Metazoa; Chordata; Mammalia; Chiroptera; Vespertilionidae.